GACGGAGGGCGCAAGCGUUAUUCGGAAUACUGGGCGUAAAGCGCGGGCAGGUCGUCCGUUAAGUCGGUUGUGAAAAUCCGGGGCUCAACCCCGUGAAAUGCAAACGAUACUGGCGGACUAGAGAUUGGUAGAGGCUAGCGGAAUUCCAGGUGUAGCGGUGGAAUGCGUAGAUAUCUGGAAGAACACCAGUGGCGAAGGCGGCUAGCUGGGCCAAGUCUGACACUCAUCCGCGAAAGCGUGGGGAGCAAAC
This 250-nucleotide ribosomal RNA is filed under the name uncultured bacterium. RNAcentral describes it as "partial 16S ribosomal RNA". It matches the Rfam family "Bacterial small subunit ribosomal RNA", at positions 524 to 773 of the family's 1533-position model. The record is from RNAcentral.